GUGACUAAAUUUGGAACAAUACAGAGAAGAUUAGCAUAGCCCUGGCACAAGGAUGACACACAAAUUCGUGAAGUGUUCCAUAUGUUU
This 87-nucleotide small nuclear RNA is filed under the name Jaculus jaculus (lesser Egyptian jerboa). The record is from RNAcentral. Lineage: Eukaryota; Metazoa; Chordata; Mammalia; Rodentia; Dipodidae.